GAGUUUGAUCCUGGCUCAGAUUGAACGCUGGCGGCAGGCCUAACACAUGCAAGUCGAACGGUAACGGGAAGAAGCUUGCUUCUUUGCUGACGAGUGGCGGACGGGUGAGUAAUGUCUGGGAAACUGCCUGAUGGAGGGGGAUAACUACUGGAAACGGUAGCUAAUACCGCAUAACGUCGCAAGACCAAAGAGGGGGACCUUCGGGCCUCUUGCCAUCGGAUGUGCCCAGAUGGGAUUAGCUUGUUGGUGGGGUAACGGCUAACCAAGGCGACGAUCCCUAGCUGGUCUGAGAGGAUGACCAGCCACACUGGAACUGAGAUACGGUCCAGACUCCUACGGGAGGCAGCAGUGGGGAAUAUUGCACAAUGGGCGCAAGCCUGAUGCAGCCAUGCCGCGUGUAUGAAGAAGGCCUUCGGGUUGUAAAGUACUUUCAGCGGGGAGGAAGGGAGUAAAGUUAAUACCUUUGCUCAUUGACGUUACCCGCAGAAGAAGCACCGGCUAACUCCGUGCCAGCAGCCGCGGUAAUACG
Molecule: ribosomal RNA, 529 nt
Filed under: uncultured bacterium
Lineage: Bacteria
Description: bacterial SSU rRNA
Rfam family: Bacterial small subunit ribosomal RNA
Source: RNAcentral